GCCUACGGGAGGCAGCAGUAGGGAAUCUUCCACAAUGGACGAAAGUCUGAUGGAGCAACGCCGCGUGAGUGAAGAAGGGUUUCGGCUCGUAAAGCUCUGUUGGUAGGGGAGAAAGAUAGAGGUAGCAACUCGCCUUUAUUUGACGGUAAUUACUUAGAAAGUCACGGGUAACUCCGUGCCAGCAGCCGCGGUAAUACGUAGGUGGCAAGCGUUGUCCGGGUUUAUUGGGCGUAAAGCGAGUGCAGGCGG
Molecule: ribosomal RNA, 249 nt
Filed under: uncultured bacterium
Lineage: Bacteria
Description: partial 16S ribosomal RNA
Rfam family: Bacterial small subunit ribosomal RNA
Source: RNAcentral